GACGAACGCUGGCGGCGUGCUUAACACAUGCAAGUCGAACGGAAAGGCCCUGCUUGCAGGGUACUCGAGUGGCGAACGGGUGUGUAACACGUGGGUGAUCUGCCCUGCACUUCGGGAUGAGCCUGGGAAACUGGGUCUAAUACCGGAUAGGAGCCAUUUUUAGUGUGAUGGUUGGAAAGUUUUUUCGGUGUAGGAUGAGCUCGCGGCCUAUCUGCUUGUUGGUGGGGUAAUGGCCUACCAAGGCGGCGACGGGUAGCCGGCCUGAGAGGGUGGACGGCCACACUGGGACUGAGAGACGGCACAGACGCCUACGGGAGGCAGCAGUGGGGAAUAUUGCACAAUGGGCGCAAGCCUGAUGCAGCGACGCCGCGUGUGGGAUGACGGCCUUCGGGUUGAAAACUCCUUUCGCUAGGGACGAAGCUUUUUGUGACGGUACCUAGAGAAGAAGCACCGGCUAACUACGUG
This 465-nucleotide ribosomal RNA is filed under the name uncultured bacterium. Its description in RNAcentral is "partial 16S ribosomal RNA". It matches the Rfam family "Bacterial small subunit ribosomal RNA", at positions 28 to 507 of the family's 1533-position model. The record is from RNAcentral.